AAAAAAUAAAGGAAUAUUUAUUUAUUUAAACAGUCCAUGUACAGAGCCCAAAUUACAAUAUAAGCCCACAACCCGUUACACUCUUUGACCCAACUCGGUAAAACCCAAAGACCCGAUUACAUUUUUUAGCCCAACUGAACACUUAAAACUACCGAAAACCCGGUUAUACCCAACCCACAAGUGGACGGCCCAAGUAGACCCAAAACUCAUGAAGGCCCGAGAGGCCCAAAACUUAAAAUUUCCAGCUAGGGUUUCCAACCCUAGCUCUUUCUCCUCGCGUCGCGACAGAUUCUAGAAAGUUCGAGGAGCGUCUGUCCAGCUCCCGGAUCAAGGCCUUUUCAAUGUUGUACCAGUGACGUUGCAACUCCCGAAAUCAAGGCCACUAUUCAAUGCACUAUAUCAGGGCCUUUCAACGCCCCAUCAGUGCCUCACCAUCUCAACGACUCCUCAACCACCGAUCGUGCCCCCAUCAACGCCUCUCCAGUGACCUUUCAGCGCACCAUCCCAGCCACCGAUUGUUUCGCUGCCGACGCCGAGAUCUUCGCAUUCACAGUGGAGACAGUACUGUGGUUAAGCCAUAACCAGUGCACGAACAAGCAUCCAGGCAGAUUCGCAUCAACAGCAAUCUUUGCCAGAUUUUUUGGCACCUGCAAGCAAAAAAAGAAACCAGCAAAAAAGGCAAGAAACAAACAGCAGAAAAUAGAAACAAAAAUGGAAAGAAAUCUUUGAUUUUUUUCCUAAAAUUGUAAAAGUCUGAGGCUAUAAAGCCUCUCUUCAACUUGUAAACAGGGACGCUUAUUCACGCUGAAAAAGAGAGAAAGAUACACUAAGUACACUGAUAAAGGCUUACAUAUAGAAACAGAGAGAAACAAAAAAAGAGAAAUACAUAGAUUUACACACUUAGAAAGAAAAACACAAAAAGUUGUAUUCAUUUAAAACAGAGAAAUAAAAGCCAGUUUCCUGUUUUUGAGGUAAUCGAAUCGUUUUUUUUGCUUAUUUUUACUCACAUGUUCUUCUUCUUGCAUGUAUAUACAGAUUUUUUAAAAAAAAUAACUAAGGAAAACAAAGGGAGGAAGAGAUCACCUGAUGAUUGGCGAAGGAAAUGAGGGUUUUUUAAACCCUAGCCACCGUGUACGGUGGCCCAGACGGUGGUGCGUGGAGGCGCGUAUGAGCAAAACACGGUGGAGCCUUGGGAAGAGCCAGGACGGCCCUGUGGCCAGAGCUCCGAGGGCCAGAGGUUUUCUCAGAGAAUUUUUUUGUUUUUUUUUUGAAAUGCAGGUUGCAAAAUGAAUCUGGGGUGUGAAAUUAGGCUUAUAUAGC
This 1320-nucleotide long non-coding RNA is filed under the name Gossypium barbadense (sea-island cotton). RNAcentral's name for it is "long non-coding RNA (GBAR_LNC000848)". Lineage: Eukaryota; Viridiplantae; Streptophyta; Magnoliopsida; Malvales; Malvaceae. The record is from RNAcentral.